Molecule: long non-coding RNA, 1050 nt
Filed under: Homo sapiens (human)
Lineage: Eukaryota; Metazoa; Chordata; Mammalia; Primates; Hominidae
Description: MIR663A host gene
Source: RNAcentral
AUUCUCCCGUGACGGUGACUCCAACGGUUGGCUGAGGACGAUUCCCUGAGCCUUGACAAAGCAGGAGCCCUCCGUGGCGGUGCGUCGGUGUCGAGGCUCCAGUCUGACUAAUCCAGGGGGUCGACAAAACAGAUUCGGGACACUAUGCUACACGGAGGGCCUACCAGGAUGCAGAAACAGCAGACGGAGUCCAGGGAAAGCAGUGCGGCAUCCCAGCCUCAGGCCUGCCCGUACGGUGUUCGGAAAUACUAGGCUUUAGAAUUUCACCAUAUGAAUUUUGGGAGAGAGGAGCACAGUUCAGCCCAUAACUAACACACGACGGAAUGAAGUUGAUAAUAGUGAGACCUUGUUGGUACAAGACUAUGUAACAUAACCUGCGCUUCUCAACAAAGAAUUGCUUUUCUGACUUCUGCACUCAACUACUCAACAUGAAGGCAAUAAGAAUGAAGACCUCUAUGUAUAAUAAUUGACUUCCACUUAAUAAAUACCUGAACAGAUGUUGAGUACAAGCUGAUCCACCUACGUUCAACCUGAGAGAGUCCACAUCCACAGACUGUUUCAUUUCCCUUUUUCAAUUUACAUAGAAGCAUAGAUUCUUGCUGGCAUAUACAAAUGCGCCAUUUAAGGCAAUCAAAAAUGGUUCCACAUCUCAUCUGAUUUCCACAAUUGUUGCUGUAACGAUGGACUACUGAGGAGAGAGACAAUUUCUCUGGCACAUCUUCCCACAUUUUAGCAACAUGUUCAUGGAGAGCCAAUAUUCAGUAAUUACAGCCCAAUUCCUCACAAUUUCACAAUUCGCUAACAAUAUGCAUUUUCACAAUGUAAAGCUGAUUUUCCUUUAACCAAAUCAAACAUGAAAAGAUAGCUGCAUGCAAUGGGCAAUCUAGAUCAUUAGAAGAUUGAUGUAAAAUUAGAGGACACUGAGACUGGAAUAGAUUGCAAACUUCAGGGAGCUCAGAAAACUUGUAAACUCUACAUUUUGAGGAAAUAUGUUGUCGAUGCUUUUGCAACUCUAUGCAGUAACUUAACAAAUAAAGCCUUAAAGUAACU